RNAcentral lists this ribosomal RNA (442 nucleotides) under uncultured bacterium. RNAcentral describes it as "partial 16S ribosomal RNA". It matches the Rfam family "Bacterial small subunit ribosomal RNA", at positions 338 to 795 of the family's 1533-position model. The record is from RNAcentral.
CCUACGGGCGGCAGCAGUAGGGAAUCUUUCACAAUGGGCGAAAGCCUGAUGGAGCAACGCCGCGUGCAUGAUGAAGGCCUUCGGGUUGUAAACUGCUUUUAUAAGCGAGAAAUAUGAUGGUAACUUAUGAAUAAGGAUCGGCUAACUACGUGCCAGCAGCCGCGGUCAUACGUAGGAUCCGAGCAUUAUCCGGAGUGACUGGGUGUAAAGAGUUGCGUAGGUGGCAUAAUAAGUAGCUAGUGAAAACUGGUGGCUCAACCAUUCAGACUAUUAGCUAAACUGUUAAGCUCGAGCCCGUUAGGGGUAACUGGAAUUUCUAGUGUAGGAGUGAAAUGCGUAGAUAUUAGAAGGAACACCAGUGGCGAAGGCAGGUUGCUGGGACGGUUCUGACACUAAGGCACGAAAGCGUAGGGAGCAAACGGGAUUAGAUACCCUUGUAGUC